This 505-nucleotide ribosomal RNA is filed under the name uncultured bacterium. Its description in RNAcentral is "partial 16S ribosomal RNA". It matches the Rfam family "Bacterial small subunit ribosomal RNA", at positions 28 to 507 of the family's 1533-position model. The record is from RNAcentral.
GACGAACGCUGGCGGCGUGCCUAAUACAUGCAAGUAGAACGCACAGUUUAUACCGUAGCUUGCUACACCAUAGACUGUGAGUUGCGAACGGGUGAGUAACGCGUAGGUAACCUGCCUGGUAGCGGGGGAUAACUAUUGGAAACGAUAGCUAAUACCGCAUAAUAUUAAUUAUUGCAUGAUAAUUAAUUGAAAGGUGCAAUUGCACCACUACCAGAUGGACCUGCGUUGUAUUAGCUAGUAGGUGAGGUAACGGCUCACCUAGGCGACGAUACAUAGCCGACCUGAGAGGGUGAUCGGCCACACUGGGACUGAGACACGGCCCAGACUCCUACGGGAGGCAGCAGUAGGGAAUCUUCGGCAAUGGACGAGAGUCUGACCGAGCAACGCCGCGGGAGUGAAGAAGGUUGUCGGAUCGUAAAGCUCGGUUGUAAGAGAAGAACGGGUGUGAGAGUGGAAAGUUCACACUGUGACGGUAUCUUACAAGAAAGGAACGGCUAACUACGUG